This 497-nucleotide ribosomal RNA is filed under the name uncultured bacterium. RNAcentral's name for it is "partial 16S ribosomal RNA". It matches the Rfam family "Bacterial small subunit ribosomal RNA", at positions 28 to 507 of the family's 1533-position model. The record is from RNAcentral.
GAUGAACGCUGGCGGCGUGCCUAAUACAUGCAAGUCGAGCGAACAGACGAGGAGCUUGCUCCUCUGACGUUAGCGGCGGACGGGUGAGUAACACGUGGAUAACCUACCUAUAAGACUGGGAUAACUUCGGGAAACCGGAGCUAAUACCGGAUAACAUGUUGAACCGCAUGGUUCAACAGUUAAAGACGGUUUUGCUGUCACUUAUAGAUGGAUCCGCGUCGCAUUAGCUAGUUGGUAAGGUAACGGCUUACCAAGGCAACGAUGCGUAGCCGACCUGAGAGGGUGAUCGGCCACACUGGAACUGAGACACGGUCCAGACUCCUACGGGAGGCAGCAGUAGGGAAUCUUCCGCAAUGGGCGCAAGCCUGACGGAGCAACGCCGCGUGAGUGAAGAAGGUCUUCGGAUCGUAAAACUCUGUUAUUAGGGAAGAAAAAAUGUGUAAGUAACUAUGCACGUCUUGACGGUACCUAAUCAGAAAGCCACGGCUAACUACGUG